UACGUAGGGGUCGAGCGUUGUCCGGACUUACUGGGCGUAAAGCGUGGGUAGGUGGCCACUGAUGUGCCGUGUGAAAGCGCCGCGCUUCUCGCGGCGAGGUCGCGGUAGACACAGUGGCUCGAGGCACGGAGAGGGGCGUAGAAUUCCCGGUGUAGUGGUGAAAUGCGCAGAUAUCAGGAAGAACACCCGUGGCGAAAGCGGCUCUCUGGAACGGUACUGACGCUGAGACGCGAAAGCGUGGGGAGCGAACAGG
Molecule: ribosomal RNA, 253 nt
Filed under: uncultured bacterium
Lineage: Bacteria
Description: partial 16S ribosomal RNA
Rfam family: Bacterial small subunit ribosomal RNA
Source: RNAcentral